Molecule: ribosomal RNA, 253 nt
Filed under: uncultured bacterium
Lineage: Bacteria
Description: partial 16S ribosomal RNA
Rfam family: Bacterial small subunit ribosomal RNA
Source: RNAcentral
UACGUAGGGUGCGAGCGUUAAUCGGAAUUACUGGGCGUAAAGCGUGCGCAGGCGGCUUCUUAAGCCAGAUGUGAAAUCCCCGGGCUUAACCUGGGAAUUGCAUUUGGGACUGGGAGGCUCGAGUGUGGCAGAGGGGGGUGGAACUCCUGGUGUAGCAGUGAAAUGCGUAGAUAUCAGGAAGAACACCGAUGGCGAAGGCAGCCCCCUGGGCUAACACUGACGCUCAUGCACGAAAGCGUGGGGAGCAAACAGG